This 1757-nucleotide long non-coding RNA is filed under the name Triticum aestivum (bread wheat). Its description in RNAcentral is "long non-coding RNA (TAES_LNC008838)". The record is from RNAcentral. Lineage: Eukaryota; Viridiplantae; Streptophyta; Magnoliopsida; Poales; Poaceae.
CACACAUGUAUCAAGUUUUCGGUUAUUACAAUACUAGCAUGAAUAAUAAACAUUUAUCAUGAAAUAAGCAAAUAUAAAAUAACAACUUUAUUAUUGCCUCUAGGGCAUAUUUCCUUCAAAACCACAAUCUAGUAAAAAUCUAUGACAAUAUUGCAGUAAAAAACUAUAUAUCAAAAACAUACCACAACAAGGAGAAGGAAGAAUCCUAUGCCCAGCAUGGUAAGUCUCUACUUUCAGAUCAAACACAGAGUGGUCCAGAGUGAAGACCACACGAUCUCCAGCACAAAGAGCAUAGUCAUGGGUAAGUUCGAACCAGGCAGAACCAUAGAACUUGGAGUAAUGGGCUUCAUGCUUAAAAAUAACAGCAUAAGAUCUACUCUCAAAAGUCAGCAAAGCAGGCUCAAUCCUCUUGUAGUGCGACAUCUUGGCAACAUUCCUGUGCUCCUGAAUGUAAGCAGCUAGGAAAGCCCUCACAUUGCAGGGAAUGUAUUGGAUUGAACAAGAACAAAAUCAAUAGAAAAAAAUUCUAUAAAAGAGGUUGAAUAUAAGUGCACAGGCUUGAGUAUGAGUUCAAAAACCUAAUUCCUAAAACCUAAAAAGGUACAAUUAAAACUUGCAUUCUUAUCAUACUAAAAUCGCACACAUUGUACAACAGCAAAAACAUACAUACAUGCCUAUAUGAUACACUAGAUUAUAACUUACUGUAAGCACAUACAUUGAUAGGUACUAGGUCAUACUAAAGACCUAAAAUAAAAAAUGCACAAGCUUGAGUAUGAGUACAAAAACCUAAUUCCUAAAAUCAAAAAAGCUAUAAUUACAACUUGCAUUAUACUAAACUUGAAUACAUUUUACAAUAGCAAAAGAUUCAUACUAGCCUAUAUGAUACACUGGAUUACUACUUACUGCAAACGGAUACAUUGAUAGGUCAUACUAAAUACCUAAAAAUAAAAAUGCACAAGCUUCAGUAUGAGUUCAAAAACCUAAUUCCUAAAACCUAAAAAGGUACAAUUAAAACUUGCAUUCUUAUCAUACUAAAAUUGCACACAUUGUACAACAGCAAAAAGAUACAUACAAGCCUAUAUGAUACACUGGAUUAUAACUUACUGUAAGCUCAUACAUUGAUAGGUACUAGGUCAUACUAACUACCUAAAAUAAAAAAAUGCUCAAGCUUGAGUAUGAGUACAAAAACCUAAUUCCUAAAAUCAAAAAAGCUACAAUUACAACUUGCAUCCUCAUCAUACUAAACUUACAUACAUUUUACAAUAGCAAAAGAUUCAUACUAGCCUAUUAUGAUACACUGGAUUACUACUUACUGCAAACAGAUACAUUGAUAGGUCAUACUAAAUACCUAAAAAUAGAAAUGCACAAGCUUCACUAUGAGUACAAGAAACUAAUUCCUAAAAUCAAAAAGGUACAAUUAAAACUUGCAUCCUCAUCAUACUAAAAAUAUCACACAUUUUACAACAACAAAAAGAUUCAUACUAGCCUAUAUGAUACAAUGGAUUAUAACUUACUGUAAGCGCAUACAUUGAUAGGUACUAGGUCAUACUAAAGACCUAAAAUAAAAAUUGCACAAGCUUGAGUAUGAGUACGAAAACCUAAUUCCUAAAAUAAAAAAAGCUACAAUUACAACUUGCAUCCUCAUCAUACCAAACUUGCAUACAUUUCACAAUAGGAAAAAUAUUCAUACUAGCCUAUAUGAUACACUAGAUUACUACUUACUGCAAGUAGAUAUAUUGAUAGGUCAUACUAAAUAC